Long non-coding RNA from Arachis duranensis, 244 nucleotides. RefSeq lists it as uncharacterized. The record is from RefSeq and is a predicted model, not a curated record. NCBI's taxonomy places the organism in Eukaryota, Viridiplantae, Streptophyta, Magnoliopsida, Fabales, Fabaceae. The transcript has 3 exons.
CAGGUCUCAUCAGUAAAUAUAUACUACCUGUUGGCAAAUGAUACUGUUGAUGACAUCAUAUGGGAUGUGGUGCAAUUCAAACUGGAUAAUUUGGGGCAGAUGUUAGAUGGCCAUGAGAACACCUUAGCUGUGUCAAAUAAUCAGCCAUUGAGUAGCCCUGCAAAGCAUACUACUAUUGAGCAUAGCCCUUCAAAGCAGAGAACUCUUGACCAGUUUGUCAGAAGAUGUGAUAACGUGGAUAGGU